GAUGAACGCUGGCGGCGUGCCUAAUACAUGCAAGUCGAGCGAACAGACGAGGAGCUUGCUCCUCUGACGUUAGCGGCGGACGGGUGAGUAACACGUGGAUAACCUACCUAUAAGACUGGGAUAACUUCGGGAAACCGGAGCUAAUACCGGAUAAUAUAUUGAACCGCAUGGUUCAAUAGUGAAAGACGGUUUUGCUGUCACUUAUACAUGGAUCCGCGCCGCAUUAGCUAGUUGGUAAGGUAACGGCUUACCAAGGCAACGAUGCGUAGCCGACCUGAGAGGGUGAUCGGCCACACUGGAACUGAGACACGGUCCAGACUCCUACGGGAGGCAGCAGUAGGGAAUCUUCCGCAAUGGGCGAAAGCCUGACGGAGCAACGCCGCGUGAGUGAUGAAGGUCUUCGGAUCGUAAAACUCUGUUAUUAGGGAAGAACAAAUGUGUAAGUAACUAUGCACGUCUUGACGGUACCUAAUCAGAAAGCCACGGCUAACUACGUG
This 497-nucleotide ribosomal RNA is filed under the name uncultured bacterium. RNAcentral describes it as "partial 16S ribosomal RNA". It matches the Rfam family "Bacterial small subunit ribosomal RNA", at positions 28 to 507 of the family's 1533-position model. The record is from RNAcentral.